GAUGAACGCUGGCGGCGUGCCUAAUACAUGCAAGUCGAGCGAACGGGCGAGAAGUUUGCCUCCCGGAUGUUUUCGGCAGACGGGUGUGUAACGCAUGGAUCACCUACCUAUGAGACUGAGAACACUUCGGAAAACCAUAUCUUAUACCAUAAAAUCAUUUAAACCGUAUUGAUCAAAAGUAAAAGACAGCCUUUCUGUUACUUAUAGAUGCAUCCGCGCGUCAUUUGCUAGUUGGUAUGGUAGCGGAUUACCACGGCAACGAUUAAUAGCCGACCGGAGAGGUUGAUCGGCAACCCUGGAACUGAGCAACGGCCCGGACUCCUACGGGGGGAAGCGGAAGGGAAUCUUGCGCAAUGGGCGAAAGCCUGACGGAGAAAGGCCGGGUGAGUGAUGAAGGUCUUCGGAUCGUAAAACUUGGUGAUUAGGGAAGACGAUAUGUGUAAGUAAAUGUGCACAUCUUGACGGUACCUAACCAGAAAGCCACGGCUAACUACGUG
This 497-nucleotide ribosomal RNA is filed under the name uncultured bacterium. RNAcentral's name for it is "partial 16S ribosomal RNA". It matches the Rfam family "Bacterial small subunit ribosomal RNA", at positions 28 to 507 of the family's 1533-position model. The record is from RNAcentral.